RNAcentral lists this unclassified non-coding RNA (376 nucleotides) under Hevea brasiliensis (rubber tree). Lineage: Eukaryota; Viridiplantae; Streptophyta; Magnoliopsida; Malpighiales; Euphorbiaceae. The record is from RNAcentral.
AGAGGAAAUAGUGUUGUCACUGUUGAAGCACUAGAGCCUGUAAACAGAGCAAUGUGAUUAUGUUUAUGUGGUAGUACUGAUCCAUUUAGUUUAAACUCUUGUAUUUUGGAUAAUAUGUCUAUUUGUGGGAUGCAAACCAUUCUGUACUUUGUAGAUGCAAGGUAAUGUGGGUCUUCUGAAUUUCGGUAAUUCUUGCAUUAGAUUUAAUUUCUAGCAAGCUUAGGCUGCUGUUGGUUCUCUUGCAAUGACAAUUGUAUGCCUUCUGGAAUUAAUUUCUAAAUACUUCGUACAUAAGUUGCACAUUUUUUAUCAUUUGGAGCUUGAGUUAUGGCUGGGGCCAUCGGGCUAGUACUAGGGCUCCGAACUGAACUUCGGC